UAUUGGUCCUCUCGCAACAAUAGCAGGUGAAUUUGGUCAGGCCCGGAAGGGAGCAGCCACAGCGUGUGAUUUGUGUGCCGGGAUGUGGCUGGUAAGG
Pseudoalteromonas ulvae is the source of this 97-nucleotide non-coding RNA. It matches the Rfam family "Bacterial small signal recognition particle RNA". From Rfam's summary of the family: The signal recognition particle (SRP) is a universally conserved ribonucleoprotein involved in the co-translational targeting of proteins to membranes. Archaeal SRP consists of a 7S RNA and homologues of the eukaryotic SRP19 and SRP54 proteins. In most bacteria, the SRP consists of a 4.5S RNA and the Ffh protein (a homologue of the eukaryotic SRP54 protein). The record is from Rfam. NCBI's taxonomy places the organism in Bacteria, Pseudomonadati, Pseudomonadota, Gammaproteobacteria, Alteromonadales, Pseudoalteromonadaceae.